This 460-nucleotide ribosomal RNA is filed under the name uncultured bacterium. Its description in RNAcentral is "partial 16S ribosomal RNA". It matches the Rfam family "Bacterial small subunit ribosomal RNA", at positions 338 to 795 of the family's 1533-position model. The record is from RNAcentral.
ACUACGGGAGGCAGCAGUGAGGAAUAUUGGUCAAUGGACGAGAGUCUGAACCAGCCAAGUAGCGUGAAGGAUGACUGCCCUAUGGGUUGUAAACUUCUUUUAUAAAGGAAUAAAACGAGGCACGUGUUCCUUUUUGCAUGUACUUUAUGAAUAAGGAUCGGCUAACUCCGUGCCAGCAGCCCCGGUAAUACGGGGGAUCCGCGCGUUAUCCGGAUUGCUUUGGGUUAAAAGGAGCGUAGAUGGGUUGUUAAGUCAGUUGUGAAAGUUUGCGGCUCAACCGUAAAAUGGCAAUUGAUACUGGCAGUCUUGAGUACAGUUGAGGUAGGCGGAAUUCGUGGUGUAGCGGUGAAAUGCUUAGAUAUCACGAAGAACCCCGAUUGCGAAGGCAGCUUACUAAACUGUGACUGACAUUGAUGCUCGAAAGUGUGGGUAUCAAACAGGAUUAGAUACCCCGGUAGUC